This 254-nucleotide ribosomal RNA is filed under the name uncultured bacterium. Its description in RNAcentral is "partial 16S ribosomal RNA". It matches the Rfam family "Bacterial small subunit ribosomal RNA", at positions 524 to 776 of the family's 1533-position model. The record is from RNAcentral.
UACGUAGGUGGCAAGCGUUGUCCGGAAUUAUUGGGCGUAAAGCGCGCGCAGGCGGUUUCUUAAGUCUGAUGUGAAAGCCCACGGCUCAACCGUGGAGGGUCAUUGGAAACUGGGAGACUUGAGUGCAGAAGAGGAGAGUGGAAUUUCCACGUGUAGCGGUGAAAUGCGCAGAUAUCGGGAGGAACACCAGUAGCGAAGGCGGCACUCUGGGCCGGUACUGACGCUGAGGAGCGAAAGCGUGGGGAGCAAACAGG